Molecule: non-coding RNA, 50 nt
Filed under: Trypanosoma lewisi
Lineage: Eukaryota; Euglenozoa; Kinetoplastea; Trypanosomatida; Trypanosomatidae
Source: RNAcentral
AAUAAUAACCACAUGGAGAUCACGGAUAAUGAUGGAGAUAAUUAAAGAAA